CUGACAAGAGACUGAAAGCAACAACAAUUUCAAAAUACUAAUUUACUAUUCACCAGUGUCCACUGUUCUACUGCUGUCAAGUCAAGCUGCACAAUUUAGAGAUUCCUGCAGACCCAUAAUUGUUUGUAAUUUCAACUAGAAGUGCUUUUCAUGCUCAGCGUACUGAAUUAUACACUGAACUAUAAUGUGAGGUUCUCUUCAUAUUGACACCGGCUCCCGUUGAGUAAGCUCUUGAAUCUUGCCUCAGAAUAUCUAGUCCACACCAAAGAGGUGAAUCAUUACAAGAUGAAGUCCUCUGGAGAAAGGAAUGGGCAUCGAGUAUCACUAUGUAGUGGUGAGGGUUAGGGUUAGAGGAAAUCACCAUGUAGUGAUGAUGCUACAUGGUGAUACUCCAUAUUUUAGAACAAUGUUAAAAAGUUAAAAAGGACUGUACACUUUUCAGAAUUAAGAGCAGGACUGUUCACAGCUCUACAAACAAAGACAUCUGAAGUCCAGAACUUGUACAGUCCGCCUCAGUGAACAUCUAUGAAUGGAAAAGCCGAGAGACAGAAAGCUGAAGGGAUGAUUGCUCAACGCUGCUAUGGUGAAACCGACGGCCCGUCCUGUGGCAUGUGACCGACACAUGACUGAGAGGCUGCUCCAGUGUUCACCGUGAGACCAUAUGACUGAGCACUGAGUCACGCUCAGCAACACCAGGGAUCUUGUGAGUUCUUCCCACACUCCAUGAAGCAUCCACACCCAGCCCAUGACACUGAUGGCUUUGUCACAACGUUCCCCAUCCCCCAACACUCCCAGUGUCAGAACUAUCAGCAGCUCUUUCCCCUCAUAUUUGGCCAUUAAUCCCAUAACAGAGUCUGUACAUACCAGUGUCUAUGAAAUCAUGAACUAGUCUGACCUGUUGAGCAGCCGCUCCUGUUCCCUCUAAAUGUGCAUACCAAACAGCACACAAUAUAGCAUGCAGACACACAGAUAAGAUUGGAAACUAUCCGGUUUAUUUAAUAACGUGAAUGAAAUUACAGUAUGGUGAAAAGUUUGAGCUUUUUUUGGGUUGCAAAGACUUGCCAAUUAACACACUUGUUAACAUUAGAACACACAACACUGACAUCAGAUCAAAAAUGUGUUUUGUUAAAGCGGCUGAUAAGAAAGCGUUGAAAAAGUUAUUGAAUCCCUGUGAGAAAGAUUCAGGUAGCCGUGUCCUUCAGUACAGCACAGGGUGGAACUGUCCUCCCUCUUCAGCUGCUCGGAGAUCAGACUGUGACCGACACAUGUAAACCUGAUAUGCUGAACUGACUGAAGUGUUUCCAGGUCAGACAGAGCUGUUCAUGUCCUCGAACAAUGAUGUGUGUGCUACCACGACAAUUAUUUAUUUUCAAAAAAGCUGCUGUAAGGUCUUGUUGUAAAUAAUCCACUAACAAAUGUGAAGUACAAAAAAACCCAACACAAAUAAAUUUAAUUAUUAAUUUGA
This is a long non-coding RNA of Larimichthys crocea (large yellow croaker), 1465 nucleotides long. RefSeq lists it as uncharacterized. The transcript is spliced from 2 exons. Lineage: Eukaryota; Metazoa; Chordata; Actinopteri; Sciaenidae. The record is from RefSeq and is a predicted model, not a curated record.